AGGAAGGAACUGAGAACACCAGCAUCUGCUGCCGCCCUGAAUCAGCGUUAGCAUGUGGAGGCAACCUCAGCCCCCAGUUUUUGAAGAAGGUGAUUCAGAUUCAGACACAGGAAUUAUGGUGACGGUAGAAAUGGACUGGAAGGUUCGUUCCCCUUGCCCACCAAGACUCCAGAGCAGUUUCUUUCAGGGUGGAAACAGUCCCAACCUAGAAAGCUGAUCAGAAGACUCCCACCCACAUACCAGCAAUUGGUAUCUGCAUGGCUACGUACGCAGCUUCCUCUGAAUCCAGGUAUCUCAUUUAACUGUUUUAACGACCCCGAUCUUCAGGAUCAAGAAGCAGACCCAGCACAGUGAGGCUGCCUGGCUAACAGGGUUGACGUGUGAACCCACGGCUCCCCCUCACCGAGCCCCGUGCUCUUCUGGGCAGCGCUGCCUCUGCUCCUGACAGCCCACCAGCUUCCUCGGAGCCUUCCUGCUGCAGCCGCUCAGGGAGAGCAGGCCUUUCCUCCAGCCCUGUGGCCUGCACAGACCUCCUCAGCUGGGCCUCCAAGGAGGAGCAGGAGGGUACUAACAUUUGGAACCUGCCUUCAAGGCACGUAUUCAUGCUUUUUAAGCAUUUAUAGUUUAACAUCAGUGGCUCGGAGAAGACCCAUGACUUAGGAAGUGAAUCUCUUAAGUACUAAUGGAUUAAAAUAAAGUUGUAGAAAACAUAGGAAGCCCCUAAA
This is a long non-coding RNA of Homo sapiens (human), 725 nucleotides long. The record is from Ensembl. NCBI's taxonomy places the organism in Eukaryota, Metazoa, Chordata, Mammalia, Primates, Hominidae.